UGUCAACCCAAGUUUAGGCAGAUGAACAGCUCACAACCCAGAGCCUCCAAGUAUAAAUAAACUCUUCCACAUUCAGCUUAGAGCACCAAAAUUAGGCUUAUGCACCAGCUCUGCCUCAAAAGGCAUCAGUCCCUCAGUGCUGACCUCUUCUACAACUCGUCACCUCUGACCUUGGACAGCCAGUUUAGCUGUCUCAAGUCACGUAGGCUGUUACCUCCACCCCCUCAGCCAAAGUCACUCACAAACAGAUGGUCAGAGCAAUAUUUUACAACAAGAUAUAGAUGUAAUACCUAGAAAAAGGAAAUAAGCUGUCUUUAGGCACUGUAUUCUUGGUCUCUAAGCACACACACUAAAAAUAGAAAAAACAACCACAAAAGCAAAAGCCUGAAGAAAUGGAAAGCAGACUCAUUCCAAAACUUUGUUCAAAAGCCCACACAGUAAAUCCUGAGCUCAAAACAAUAGGGCUUGAAGUUUAACUUUUGUUACACAGGAAGAAGACACUCUAAGAUAAAGAGCUAGUAAUUGAAAAGGUCAUAGAGACACUGACCACUGAUAUAUACAAGAAGCUGCAUCAUAAAGCAGUUCUGCCUCUGCUCUCUCUUGCCUAGGAUGAGCAAGAGACAGAUCAGCAGGACAUCUCAGGAAAUGUUAUACAAACCUCACAGCACACACAAAGCACAUCCAGUCAGAUUCUGAAGGCCCACAGAAGACACCAAGCUGCUGUUCUGAACAGAAUAUAAACCCUGUGGAGAUGAUCUGUCUGCUCUAACCUCUCUGUUAAUGGCAUCAUGGGACAGAGCACAGACUCAGCAAGCUGCAGCUGAUCCAAAACUGGGAGAAGGAGUUGACGCAGCACAGAGUUGCAUCAUCACUGAGAGGGACCUCAAGAGGCUGUAGAAAUGGGCCAACUUGGGGGACUCAUGAAGUUAACAGAGAGGCUUUUCCACACACCGAUAAGAUCCCACCCGAGCCUCCUCUUCUCCAGGCCUAUCAGUCCCAGCAGUCUCUGCCUUUCUUCAUGGACCAUACAACAGACACAUAGUUUGUGUUGGAAUGGACCUUUCAAGACCAUCAAGUCUAACCCACUGCAGGAAGCAGGAACAUCUUCACAAUUAGAUCUGGUUGCUCAGAGCCCAGUUCUUGACCUGACCUUGAACACUGUCAGGGAUGGAAUAUUCAUCACCUCUCUGGGCAACCUGUUCCAAUCUCUUAUCAUCACUAUAAAAAAAAAAUUCUGUAUAUGUCCAUCAAGACUUAACUCCACCCUUGGAGACAAAGAGUCUGAUAAUCCUGGGCAGCCUGCUCUAGUUGAUCAUACCUGGAGCAGUUGCACUAGAUCCCUUCCAACCUCAAGUACUGUACAGUUCUAAGAUUAAAUGGGUGUACAAGCCACAUGAGAAUGUAACUUUAAUUACUUUUCAUUACAGAAAACAAAGUUGAAGA
Long non-coding RNA from Passer domesticus (house sparrow), 1443 nucleotides. RefSeq lists it as uncharacterized. The transcript is spliced from 3 exons. The record is from RefSeq and is a predicted model, not a curated record. Lineage: Eukaryota; Metazoa; Chordata; Aves; Passeriformes; Passeridae.